GGUUGUAAACUGCUUUUAUACAGGAAGAUACACUGCUACGUGUAGCAGCUUGACGGUACUGUAAGAAUAAGGCCGGCUAACUCCGUGCCAGCAGCCGCGGUAAUACGGAGGGUCCAAGCGUUAKMCGGAAUCAKUGGGUUUAGAASGGUUCGSAGCGGUCAAUUAAGUCAGAGGUGAAAUCCCAUAGCUUAACUAUGGAACUGCCUUUGAUACUGGUUGACUUGAGUUAUACGGAAGUGGAUAGAAUGUGUAGUGUAKCGGUGAAAUGCAUAGAUAUUACACAGAAUAMGCGAUUGCGAAGGCAGUCCACUACGUAUAUACUGACGCUACACUGGACGAARACGUGGRGAGCGAACAGGAUUAGAUACCCUSGUAGUCCACGSCGUAAACGAUGGACACUAGUUGUUGGGCAUUAGCUCAGUGACUAAGCGAAAGUGAUAAGUGUCCCACCUGGGGAGUACGAUCGAAGUUG
RNAcentral lists this ribosomal RNA (472 nucleotides) under uncultured Gammaproteobacteria bacterium. Its description in RNAcentral is "partial 16S ribosomal RNA". It matches the Rfam family "Bacterial small subunit ribosomal RNA", at positions 421 to 896 of the family's 1533-position model. The record is from RNAcentral. Lineage: Bacteria; Pseudomonadati; Pseudomonadota; Gammaproteobacteria.